Molecule: non-coding RNA, 302 nt
Organism: Pelobates cultripes (western spadefoot toad)
Lineage: Eukaryota; Metazoa; Chordata; Amphibia; Anura; Pelobatidae
Source: the annotation of a GenBank genome assembly
GAAGAUCCCAAGGGGCCGUAAAGGAAUGGAUUGGAGGCCUGAGUCUGAUGACAGCCUUUAAAAAAAAUGAAUCACCAAUGGAUCUCCAGCCCAUCUUAUCAAUGAUAUUGCUGAACAAUGUACCUUAAGCGUAUUGAAGCUAAGGCCAUUGUCCAGUCCAGAUUGUAAAAAUCCCAAUACUUGCAAAGUCGAGACCUCGCCCAAGGAUUGAACUUCCUUCUUCAGCCAGUCUGCAAAUUUCUGCCAAAUCUUGUUAUAUGUGUGAGAGGUAGAAUCUUUCCUGGAACAUAACAGUAGACACC